CUAUAAAAAUGUUCAUUAACUUUAACGUAUACAGCAGUAUUAUCAGCAAUCAAAAGAAUAUCUGACAUUUCUUGAAUGUAUACUGUUAGGUAAUUUAGGAUUCCGAGAUGGAUAUAUUAUUAUUAUAACCCACAUUUUAUCUUUGAUAAAACUAAGAAUUUUAAGUAAUCUGACCAAGGCCUCCAGUUGGUAGGUGGGCAAAUCAAGACUGGAACCUAAUCCUAGAGCUCUUAUUGAUGACCUCUAUGUUAUAGUAUUCCCCAAGGAAAAGUGAUCUAUUAACUAAAAAGCUUACUAGAUCUUGAACUAUAUUAAAAGUAUCAAAAUCUUUAUGUCACUGUCUUUUUUGAUCAGAACACAUGUGCAACAUUGCAAUCAAUUCUAGAACCCACACACAGACAGGGACGGAGAGCUCCUUCCUACACCCAUGCCACCUUUGCCUGUCUCUGAGGAUAAGAAGUCUGCUCACCGUCUGUCUCUGGAAUUCUAUCACUUACCCUUCUGUAGCCCAUAUCUACAACAUAACACAUUUUAUUUGUUUUUUCUCCAGCCAGUAAAUUUAUUCAGGUUCCCACCUAAGUAGGUAACCCCACAGAGCCCCAUUUGUAGAAUGUGUGUCUCAUUCGCUGUUUCUGAGGAGUCCUUACUGACCUUCCUCUUCAGAGCAUCCAACCCAGGCUCCUUGCACUCUCUCUUUUCAUCUUCUCAAUUCCCACGAGUCGUAUCCAAAUCCCCAGCAAUUGCCAAAUACAAGUUCCUCCUCAGUGAUAUCUGUCUUUAUAAGAAGUUUGCAGACCAGAUGCUUGUAUCUUAAGGGCUGCUCUCUUAUCUCAUGUGCAUCCAGAAGACGUUCAUAAAUCCAUUAGGAAGUCUGGUUUUCGCCAAUGUGCUCUCCUACAAAUCAACAGAACUUUUAAUUCAUCAUCACACUGUGAACCUGAGCUCGGCGUAAUUUUACUAGCUUGCUACUAGUUUUCUCAUCACAUUAUUCUUAACCCGAGAAGGCUUGCUGCUUUGGAUCUUUGACACUCAGGCAAUACUUUUGGUGGCUGUCGCCGUCUUUGACUUAUCAUGGGAAUAGUGGUGCGUUGAGUGAUAACGGUGGUUAUCACUUUUGGAUUAUCAGAGGCAUAGGCACGAGUGGCAGAAAGGAUCUAAGCAAAGAAAAUCCAUUAUCUGCGUCUGUCCCUGGAUUGUCAUCUGCCUUGGAUUGUCAUGUCCAGUACCAUGUCCCUUGAAAAUGGAACACACUUGAAUCACUUUGGCAAAACAUUUUGGAAGUAGAGAGCUUCACAGAGUAUGGACCUAAGUAUUAAUUACAUGUACAUUAAAUUUACACUUCUAAACUUUACCAUCUCAAAGUCCUAAGUUGUGCUGAUUUUAACUGUUAGAUCACUUCUGUAAGCAGCAGUUGUAGGGAGCAAUAGCCUUCGAGGAUAACCCUAAAAGAGGAAGUGAACUUAAUAUUUUGUGAAGAUGCAGAGAAUAAUUUCUACCUGAUAGUUAUUGGUCUUCUUGCAACUUUUGGCUCUUGGCCAACUGCUGAGCAUGAUUAGAGAAAGAAAUUGCUAAAUAAAGUACGGAUGGAGAGGCAGGGUCCGGCAGCAAUGCGAGGGAGAUGAGUAAUGGCACGUGACUAGACUCUUAGAUGGACAGAAUUCCUCCAACUGUUAGUGACCACUAUCAUAUCAGUGCUUACAUUUUAAAAUAGCACUUUAAAACUUUUAAAAGCACAUUCUCAUGCAUUAUACAUUUGUGUGCUUUACUUGCAAGUGUUUUCAUUCCCAGCUUGAAAUGUAUAAGCCUGAGAUGGAGGCGGAAGCCACUUACACAGUGUCUCCUGUCUCCCAGCUCCAGGAUUUCUCUCCCACGCUGCACACACAUGCUCAUUUAAUCUCAUCUCGGACCCUCCAUUAAUUUCCAUUCCUUGAGUGAACUGAGAGGAGAGAGAGAGAGAGAGAGAGAGAGAGAGAGAGAGAGAGAGAGAGAGAGAGAGAGAAAUGUAACCAUUAGAAUAUGGAACUGGUAAUACCUGGAGAACAAUUCCCAGCAUGUCCAGAUGCUGGAAAGAGCCGUACAUUAAAUAAACAAAACCUGACACCACUGUGUAUUUGUCCAAAGAUAGACUGCAUUCAACAACCAACUUUUAAAAGCUAAUAACAUUUACACAAUGUAGCGGGGAGAAAACAAGCUCUAUAACCUAGUUUUUAAACCUAUACUUACAGCCUAUACUUUAGUGUAUUUUACCAAACAAUAUUAUUUAGAAGGCUUAUGGCUUAGUGCAAAACAGAGUUAAGGGGGAAAGAAUAGCCUGAAAGUGUUCCUCAGGCAAAAGAAAUCGUUUAGGUGACUAUUCUAUUAAGCAUGUUUUCAUAGAGGGAUCAAGUAGCAUGCAAUUAUUUUGCAAUUACCUUUCAGCCCCUUGCUCUGUAAUUAUUCAUUUGGUCAUAUGUGCUUUACAAAUUAGCACCCCCAAAGAUCUAAAAAGAACUACAUAGGAACAUGGUGAUUAUCUUUAGAGUUACAUGGCUUCUCAAAGGGUAAUUGCCAUUUAAUUUGCUAGCUCUGAAUUCAUAUCACGACCGCAUGGUAAUCACACACUUAUAGGGUGCCUUUCAUGGCUGUUGGGUCCUCGAAAUUUUGUGCAGGGCUAAACCGUGGGAAAGCUCUUAGGAAUAGGCGCAAACCCGUCAUGGCGAGUGUUAUGUAUUUUCACAUGCUCUUGACUUGUACAGGGUUUGCAGUAAACACUGUUGAAUGCACGUGUGUGUAUGUGUGUGUGUAUGUGUGUGUGUACGUAGGUACGUAUACACACGCUGCAAGCUCCUCAGCUCUCCCAUAGGUGACUGACUUCACUAGGCUGAAGAAACCUUCACCCAGUCAAUUCAGGACCAUUCCAUUUAAAAAGUAACUCAUAUUGGUUAGAUUUGGUCCAUGGUCAAGUGAAAAGAAACAAAUAUUUCAAUUUUCUUUUAAAAUCAAGAAAAAUGUAAGUAAAAACAUCAUCAUUAAAUACUAGGAGUAAAAGUACAAAGUUUAGAAAAGACAGCACAAAAGAUACUAGAGACUACCUAAGGCCAUUACAGGCCAGAGAACCCUGUGUCUGGUAAAAAUCUACCUUGAACAUGAACUAUCCCUUGGUGUCUAUGGGGGAUGGUUCCAGGACCCCCUUGAAGAUAACAAAAUCUGUGGACAUACAAGUCCCUCACAUAAAAUAAGGUAUUAUUUGUGUACACCCUACACACAUCAUCCUCCAAUGUACUUUAAAUCAGCUCUAGACUAUUUAUAAUAACUAAUAGAAUGUGUCAUAAAUACUAUUAAGCAGUUUUUUAUAUUGUUUGGAAUUAAUGACAAGAAGAAAGGUCUGUGUUUGUUAUGGUUUAGGUGUGAGUUAGCCUCCAAAAGCUCAUAUAUGAGAAAAUGCAAGAAGGUUUAGAGGUGAAAUUAUCUGGUUAUGAGAGUCUUAAUCUACUCAGUGCACCAGUUCACUUGAAUGGUUAAUUGGGUGGUAACUGUAGGUGGGUGCGUUGUGGCUGGAGGGGGUGUGAACUGGGUAUGUGCCUUUGGGGUAUACAUUUUGUCCUUGGUGGGCCAAACUUAGUCUCUCUCUGCUUCCUGAUUGCCAUGUCUUGAGCUGCUUCCCUUCACCACAUCUUUCCGCCAUGAUGGUCUGCCUCAUCUUGGGCCCAGAGCAAUGGAUUCAGCCAUCUAUGAACUGAGACCAAAUAAACUAUUCCUCCUCUAAAUAUUCUUGUCAGGUCGUUUGAUUACAGUGUGUGUGUGUGGGGGGGGAACCUGAAUAAACAGUGUGUAUUUAGUACAGAAAAUUUUUUUCUAAUGUUUUUGAUCUACAGUUGGUUGAAUCUGCAAAUUCGGAACUCACGGAUGUAAGGGCCAGGUGUUAUAAGAUGACAUGGCUUCUGCAAAUGGCAGAAUUAUUGGCUACUUUAGCCCAAACUGUUUGUGCCGAGCUACCUCCUAUUGAUGUGCAAGAGCUAACUGCAAAAUAUCCAGCAAUUUAACAGAUUAUUAAACUGUUGGGAUCCUGAACUCAGUCACAACAGGAGCCUGCAAACCAGGCUUCCCUCUGACUCAGGCAGCCAACUUACUAGCCUGGUACUGAAGUCAAAUAUCCUUAAAAGAGGACCAUAAUAAAGAGACCCAACUUUCUGAUGGACAGGUCUCUCUACUCACAACUCAAAUUUUACACCUUGUCCAAGUGACUCCUAAGUCUAGUUUUUAUUUUUCCUUCCUUCUCUAGGUUUUUUUUUCCAUCCCACUUAGAGACUAUUACAACUAAACACUAAUUUUUAGGAAGCCUAUAUUUGAACAGUAAUGGUUAAGAGAACAAGAUUUGAGUUUGAACCCAAAUUAAACACGCCUAGGUUUGAAUCCACUAGCCUACUUCACCAGAUGUAUGAUUUGACCAAUAUUCACUUCUUCAAUCUUUUGGUUUUAUGUGAAGGGGCAUAGAAAUACCUAACUAAUGGAGCCAUUGUGGAAAUAGUAAUGGUAUCUUCCUUACCGGGUUGUUGUAGGAAUUAAAUGGGUUACUACUAUGAUAAUUGUGGGAGCUGACGGGGAUGUUAAUCGGCUUGACUGUGGCAACCAUUUCACAAUGUAUGUGUAUGUCACAGCAUCACAUUGAACAACUUAAAUAUGCACGCUUUUGUCAGGCAUACCUCAAUCAUUUUGGGGAAAAAAAAAAGAGAGAAAGCCCUUUACGUGGACUUAUUACUGCAUUUAUUAUGGGGGAAUACUAAGAUUAUCAUGUGCACCUGGCACCUUAUAGACACUUGGUAAACAGUGAAUGUAUUCUUUUUGCAGUUCUGUUAUUAUACAGAGUUGGUAUCUGAUUUCCAACGUCUUCUUCUUGCAGGUGCUGGGAGGCUGGUGUCUCUUGGGCCAUGGUCUGGCCACAUAGCGAGCGCCUGUUGUCACAUCUGAUGCUGUGUUGGGGAGUGGACUGUGAGGUCUCAGAAUGAGCCAGCCUGGAUGGGCUGGGCAGGGGAUCUACAACCUGCCCCAGGAUGGAGCAGGAGAGGAGGAGCAGGAGAGCAGGGCGCCCGCGGCCUCUCUCAACCUGUAGAACUUGCCGCCUGUGAUGCUCGGUCGUGGUCUACAUCGGACCACCCAGCUUUGCCUGUGUUCUCCUGCAGGGCCCUGCUUGAAGCCCAGAGACCGAGGUGCUGACCUUGCUUCUCUUUUCUCUUGGUGGAUGGCCAGAUGGAUGGAAGUUAGGGAGUUCUGCACCCCCUCUCAGCUGCUUCUCUGCCCUCUCCCUGUGGGGAUGGCUCUACCUUCAUUGACACUAUAGAGAAGCCAAAGGGCAGGGACACAACCUGUGGGGCCCACGCACUUGCCACCCUGAGGCCAGGGGGAAGGCGGAUCUGGUGUCUCCUAACCCCCAGCAGAGCCCACUUGACCUCCCAACCCCUUGCCCUCUGGGGACCGUGACCUCUGGAACCUCUAGGCAAAGCUUCUCCUCCUGAGGUUCAGUCUCCCUACAGGGGAACUUUAGCUCUGAAUACACAGUGGGUCUGGGCAGGUGGGCAAAUUGACCAGAGUCCACAAGUGUGAACAGGAACGGGCUGUGGGGUGAGAGGCGAAGCUAAGUUCUGCCCAUAGCGACCCCGAAUCCAUGAGGGUGUCUACCAGUGGGCGUGGGGAAUUCUAGGAUCCCCAUGGAGACCAAGAGCCUCUAUGCUCAAGUCUCUUCAGUGAAAUGGUGUGAUACUAGUGUCCAUUCUCCCAUGUCCUUUUAAUCACCCCUAGAUUACUUACAACACCUAAGAAAGCUUUAUGUAAAUAAUUGUAUGGUAUCAUUUAUGGAGUCGAUUUCUAGCUGUCAAUGGGGUAGCCCUGAGUAGAAUUCAGAAUACUUUAGAAUUCUCUCUUGCUGUAAUCCCAGUGGCUCAGGAGGCCAAGACAGGAAGACUGUGGGUUCAAAGCCAGCCUCAGCAAUUUAGUGAGACCCUGUCUCUAAAAAUAUAUAAAAGGGGCUUGGGAUGUGGCUCAGUGGUUGAGGCCCCCACCCCGGGUUCAAUCUCAGGUACCAAAAAAAAAAAAAGACAAGAAAUUUGUCAUCAGCCGGUCCCAGCAUGCCACUGACUGUCAGUAUGAUAGAAGGGAGUCUGAUGUGGGUUAGGAGACAUCUUGGGCCUGCUGCCCCUCUGUCUGCAUGGUGCUACAGCGAGACUCAUCCUUUUCUGGGCUUCAGUCCCCCCCCCCCCCCCCGCAGCUGUAAAAGCUGAAAGAAUCAAUUCCUCCACACUCUGCACCUAAGGAGCCUGGCGAAGAGUCUGUGCCAUGUGAAUUAAUCAGUUUGGAAAGUAGAGUAUGUCUUGGGAUAAUUGUAAUCUGCUGGUCCCCCCAAAAGAUCUCUGUAAGAAACACAUUCAGGGCUGGGACUGUGGCUUAGUGGCAGAGCGCUUGCCUUGCACAUGUGAGGCACUGGGUUGGAUCCUCAGCACCACAUAAGAAAUAAAUAAAUAAAAAUAGAGGUAUUUUAAAAACACAAUUCAGUGUUCAGCUUAAUGAAGUCCAUUAACUCUAAUCUUCUAGCCUCCUUCUGACCCCUCCUCUUGCCUGGGUUCUUCUUGAGCUUGCUUCCUUAUCGAGUGAUCCUUGGGACAGAGAGACUUUGCAAUUUCACCUUGGAAGUGCUUUGAUUGACUAAGGAGAAGGUUCUUAAGCAAGAUAUCUAAUAUAAUUAGCUUCCUUUGUAACUCUACUGACCGUACUGCAUGGGCCUAGAAAACAUUAUCAGAAUGAUCCAUAGACUUCACAAGGUGGCCAGAGAAUAUGUGGCAAACAGUAAGUUAAUUAAAUACAAAUAAAAUAAAUCAGAAUGGAGGGCUCCAGAAGGCUGAACAAAGGGAUUUCCCCCUUAUCUGUGCAGAAGAAGGCAGGUUUCCUGCAGAGGUGUUGUGUUUGGCCCAUGGUUUCAGAGGCUCUGCUCCAGGGCUACUGGGCUCCGACCCUCAGGGGCUCCAUGAGGCCGAGCAUUACAGGCAGAAGCGUGUGAUGGAGCAAAGCUACUCACAUGAUGGCCUAGGAGUAGGGAUGGGGUGGGGUGACCACAAGGUGUCCUUCCAGGGCACGUCCCCCAUAGCCUAACUUCCUCCCACUAGGCCACACCUGAAGUAGUGCCACCACCUCCCAGUGGCACCAUUCCCCCAGGACCAAGUCCCCAACACACGAACUUUGGGAGAUAGUUAAGAUCCAAACCAGAAGAGGCAUUGGAAGCCACAUCCUCUCUGGCCUCUCCUUGCAAAAUGCAAGGGAAAAACAAAAUACGUGCUUUAUUCUUCUGCAUAAAUACAUGAAAUCAGCUGAAAUAUAUCAGCCAUGUAGUUUCAGUUGACUUUCUUUCAUAAAACGUGUUAUCCAUUUCCUACUCCCUUCUUUGUAUUUUAAUUUCUUAAUUUAUGUUUUUAAAGUUAUUUUUUAUCUUUUGGUACUGGUGAUUGAACUCGGGUAUGCUUUACCACUGAGGUAAAUUAAAAAAAAAAAUGAGACACGGUCUUGCUAAGUUGCUAAGGCUGACCUGGAACUUGCAAUCCUCCAGCCUCAGCCUCCCCAACCGCUGGGAUUAAAGACGUGCACCACGGUGUCUGGCUUUCGUCUAGUUUUGACCUUUCUGUUUACUAUCUAGAAAUUUUCUCUUUCAAGUGGAAGUCAUGUCAAUAGAACUAAAUGAGAAGCAAACUGAAAAAUAAAAUUCCUAAGAGAGAAAUGAAAAAAGUCACUGAAAACCUCCUACAGUGAGAAGCCUGGCGGAGUCCAGGAGAGAUCCUGUGCAAGCUCUUCAUGCAACGUGUAGAUGUGACCCUGGCUCAGAAUCAUAAGCACCUGUCCUCGGGUGCUGGUCCACAGAGCCCUUAGCACAUUCCGAGGGCUCUGGAAAUCACAGGGACAUGAGGCAACCUUCAGAGGAUGCCUCCUUAGAGCAAGGUGCUAGGCAAAUACUAGCAUUGUUAUUGUUUUUAGUACAAAUUUAUAAUUGUCUCUCUGUUAAACAUUGCAUCAAGUUAAAUUAAGUCAGCAUGAUUACAGCCAUUAAACAAAUGCCUGGUAAUGACUGACUUCUUAUUUUAGCAAUUCCUCAAACCACUGGGGCAAUACCACAUAAGGCUUCUGCUCCAUUGUCAGAUUAAUGGGGGUGCACCACCAUGUGCCACAACCGAGCAUGCUCUCCACUGUUAGAGCCACCAACGGUGAUUUAAGGCCACAGCUGCACCCCUUUACCUUGGGGUCUUCCCUACUGCUCUUACCAUCCUGUUAGGUACAAUCGACUAGUUCAUUGCAGCUUACCAGUAUCUUAAGGCAACUUCUACCUGUCAAAAAGGAAAAAAAAUAAAAUAAAAAGAAGUGUGCUUUUAAAACCAAAAUCUGGGCAAGAAUUCUCCCAGAAUUAUUCUUGUGACCCUGAAAUGAACCCAAACAGUAGGGACAGUGAUGGUUUUAACCUGGGUUCCUCAUUGGAAGGGUCACCUAAAUAAUGACCUGCCAUCUUCGCACACAGCACAGAAACAGUUAAGUCUGGAAGGCUCUGAGUUAAGGCUCCGGCCACCCAAAGCAGUGCCUGAGGCACCUGCCAGGGUGGGGGACAGGAGGUGACCCCUGUCCUGUAGUCGCUCCUCGCCUUCCAUGUCAUCCGUCUGGUGCCACCUUAGCCACUGGCCUGAUUCUGCAGAGGACACUGAAUGAUGACUCCUUGCGAGUCAGCUGACUGCUCUGUCAUUGCUGCAUGCCAGCCCGGCUCCACAGUCUCCUGGUCGCACUGCCACAGCAGAGGCAUCCAACUGGGCACGAGGCGACCGAGUUUUAAAGCUCCAUUUUCCUGCUACUACUUAGCAGUUUUCACACGAGGAUCAUUUACCUUCCCGUAGCCAGGAGCAGAGAUGCAGUCUGAAUGCGCACGGGGGCUUCUAACUUGGCCGCGUGAAUUUUCAGCUGGGCAGGUACUGCUCGGGGGGACCCCAUAACCAAAGUGCCUGUGACGGGACACGGCAGGCUCUCCACCACGUGUGUGAACAGUGUGGGGGCUUCUGAGUAAAGGCUAGGACAAAGCAAGGGUGCCUGCCACCGUGUGUCUGGCUGGGGCCUGGGCGACUCACUUCAUGGCCGCUGCGGGACUCCCCGGAUCACAUUUGAGGCUGGUCACGGGGCUGGCGCGAUCCUCACUAAUCAGUUAGAACGCGGUUUAAAAGAGAAACCAGACUCACUGACCUAAAUCAAUCCCAGUCCUCUCUGGAUGCGGGACAGCUGUCGACUAGCUGCGAUGCCACCAGCCAUCGAGUGGAGAACACGGUGACUACAGUCUGCAGGUGGAGACUGAGAGAGUGACAGUCUAUUGUUGGUCCUCUGAUGGCUUCUUCUAAUUUUUCCUAAAUAAUCAUGAUCGCUAAGCGUACAGUGAUCUGGAUGAGUCUUCCCGCCAUGCAGUCCCCGGCAACUCUGGCUGGAAAUCAGGGUGCUGGGCAGAUCCUGGUUAGCACUGGCUGUCUCCUGCAGGACACUGUGCAGCUAGGGUGGGACGGCAGGCAACAAAGCAGGAAGCAGCACUCUGUCUUCUCUUGUGAUGUUAGCAGAACAUAACUCUUCUCCGCAAUGAUGCCUCUGUGUGUGUGCGUGCAUGCGUGUGUGUAUGUGUGUGUGUGGCAUAUUUUAAAUCACCUGAUCGAAGAGCCAAACAGAUAUCAUCAUGGAUGUGGUUUUUAAUGAUGGAGGGGGGGCGGAGACAGCCUGUGGAGACAGCAAUUUGAGACAGCAGUGCAUUUAGGUUAUUGCCAAUUUGAAAUACUGGGUUUGUGAAGCCGAGCCCUAAGGGACAAGCUCGGUUAUCGAGAAAGAGAUCUUAGAUAAAGAAAUAAAAAUGACAACCGUGAUGGGGGCCCUGCAAGGGGACCGUCAGGGCAUCAGUGUGUGGAUGGCAAUUUCGCCGGGCUGAGACUGAAUAAUUCAUAGAUUGAAAUUACCCUGCUUUCACCUUUCCAUUUAAACCGGCAUGAUCUGAAUCUCUAAUAAAUUUUCAAGAUAAAGUAAAAUGCCAAUUUGAGUCUGAAGAGCUUUUAAAAGCAGAUGCUGCAUCCCUGAGUCUUUGGACACCUUUCACCGUUAUCCUGUGAGAGAGCUGAGCUUCCGUCCCCAAGCCCCAUUACGGGGGGGAAAAUGACGGUGAUUACGAUAGCAACAAUAGAAUGCCAUCAGAUGAUCUCUAAUUUACCUAAUUUGCUAAGACUGACUGUGGUUUUAACUCCCAUUGUAUGUCACCAUGCCCGGCAUCCGAGGAUCUAUCUCGCGCUGGAACAAAAGUGGGGUGGCGUGUGUCCUAGUUACCUCCGAGAGACCAGCAAAGAGCAGCCUCUUAGGUUACAAUGUCUCUUUCAAAUGGUUUGCAUUUUUGCAUCUUUUUUUUUUCCCUAAUGCCACUAUCCUAUAUUCCUGUUUGGGGAGAAUGGUGAGCCUCUCAUGAGACGGGGUUUAUUCUUUGUUAGGGGACAGCAUUGACUUGUUAAUUUAGACACCUUCUUUGUUUAGUACACGCGAGCAUGUGUUUAUCAGGAGGGAGGAAAGAUUCUGUUCUGAGAGUAGCUGAGUAACGCAGCCAAGAUGAAGGGACACCCCCGUCUGCUUCCAGGUUAGAAAUCCUUCCGGGGAGCUGUCAUCUUGGUGUGGUGUGUUACAAACCGCCCAGACUGAAAAGCAGCCCAGGUGGCACGGCCGGUGAUAACCCCAGCCCUCCCUGGGAUCCUGUGGGCUCGCGCCAGCGACGGAGCGAAGCUCUCGGGCGACUCUGGGUUUGUCUGUGUGUGCUCAGUGUGGAGAGGUCUGUGCUCCUGGGGAAGCAUUUCUCCAACCUGCUGCCCUGUUGGUCUGAGGGCAGUUGUGCCAUCCCGAAAGGGUGGCAUGGAUCACAAAUCCCCCCUGGAGAACAGACUCUCGCCACUUAAUAGGCACGAUGACUUUUGGGAAUUUUCCUUCCAAUAGCAGAAAGAUGGCAUGUGGGUCCCCGCCAAUCAGUGGUGUGUCUGAGUCUUUUGCCUCAGGUAGGGCUCAGAGGUAUGACAACCCCUGGGGAGGAAGGAAGGUCUCAAACACACCUGUCUGGUAUUCGGGGGGGGGGGUUUUGCGUGAGACUCUCAGCUCUGAUAUGUGCCUUAACUCAUCAUCACGGCUUCACCCCUGCUGGGGUCCGGCACCCACAAGCACCUCGUCACAAAGAGAAUGCCCCAUCCUGGAAGCCAGCUGGCCCUCCAUCCGCCGGCCUCUUCUGUGAGACCUCCCACGCUGCCUGGUUUCCAGUGUCCACGCUUGCUCAUCCCAAGGGAACUCCCAUUCAGGUUCUCCAGCCCAGGGUGGAGCCCAAUGAAGGAUGAAGCUCCUUCAGGGGCAAAAGAAGGAAAUCUAGAAGUAUGGAAAAGUGACAGUCUAAGAAGAAAUAUAAACCUCACCCAGAGUCCUGCUGCUCGUCAGCGGGACACUGUCACGGCCCUGUCUCAGCUGUGAGGGUGCGCAGCACAUCCUAGGUGCAGCCUGACAUUGCACACCUGCUUGACUUGAAACCGUGUUUGAAUAAGAGGAACAGCAUUACGCUUAGAAUUGCUAAAACAAAGCACCUUUCAAGCUUCCCAACGAGAUGUAAUGCCUGGAGUUGCACUACCAUCUUGGGGUCAUGAGGGAAAGACCAAAGGAAUCAGCCGACUCACCACCAUAAGUAACCUCUCACCUCCAAACUUAACAAACCGUUGACUCACAGUGCCGUCACCUGCGUCUGCCAGUCCCUGAGACUCAUAGAAGAGCAAGACAAACACUGAGAGGGACAAAGACAACUAUCUCCCGGCCAUCAGCCACGUAGAAAAUGCCACAUGCAGUUUUCCAUCACUCCAGAAUUUUAAACCAACAUCCGUAUGUAAAGAAGGGGGCCCCAGCAGCUGUGCAUGUUCUCUCCACCCAGCGCACCUACCAGGCCGAAAGAGAGACUGUGAUUCUGUUGUAGAGCCGAGGCUGCGGGUCCAAUUUUAUUUGAUCCCCAAACAACCAAGCUGAUUCAUUGCCAGAUCUGGCCUUUCCUUCCAGUGUACCUCAAUCUCUCCUAAUUUGCCGUGAAAUUCCUGGGAGUUGGCUGGUUCGGGCAUGGAGAAGGUGAGACGGCAAAGGACCCCCACCCGCUCUCCAUGGGAAGACCGGCCCCAGAAAGCCCAAGCCAGGAGAAGGCUGCUCUCCACCGCUCCUCCCUGUGCGCCCUCCUGGCUCCCGGAGGCCCAGGCGUAGAAUCUGCUGCUUGCGGACCAUCCCGGCUUCUUCCCUGUAACAGAACCUCAGCUCGGGGCGCUGGGGAUGGAACCUGGAGUCUCGUGGGCGCUAGGCAAGCUCUCCACCAGCAACAUCCCCGCCCCAGAAUCUCUACUGUUACCCAUCGGGCGUCACUGGAGCAGAAUGGAGGAGACAUUCAGAGCCGGAAAACGUAACCUGGAGCCUCUGGUAGCAAUGGCUGGCUCACAACUCCAUUUUCCACUUAAAACCGCAGGCUUGAGACGCCUGGUUCCCUCACACAGAGAACCAAGGAACUGGGGAUGCGCUUCCAGCAGGUGAACAAUCAGACACGGGAGACUCCAGGCUUCCAGACGUCCAGCCAGAGCCGGGCAGCACCUCUGACCUCCUGCAGAGGUGCCAUGGGCCGAGGACAGAGGAAUGGGGAACCGCCCCAACAUAAGUUCCCCAAAGACCGAACAUUCCAGUUGUGCUCCACAGGGUCUGGAAUACAGAGGGCCAUCAGGCUGACCCAGGCAAUCACAACCCAGUGGGAAGCAGAAAAGCAAAACCAUUUGGGAACCUCCAAUGGCUGAUACAGAGGCAAAGGAAUUGGACUGGGAGGCUUUAACCAGCGUCUGCAACCAGACAGGAAGGAACUCGUCUAAACCGAAGGCGGAGCUGAAGGUUAAAAGGUGACUUCGCCUACAGGUUGGGAUUUGCACACACAAUCAUCUGGCGCUGAGUCUCAGCACAGAUCCCGGCGGAGAGGUUGGAGCUCAUCUCACACCAAAGUCUCAGAAUGAAGAAUGCAGUAACCACCAGGCUUAAAACUCAUCGUUAUCUGUUAAGAACCCAAGUCUACAAGAAUCGUGGAGAUCAAGAGGGCCUGCGUGGUGAGGGCGAGAGGAUGCCGGGGAAGACGAGAUCCACAUGCUGAUUAUUUUCUAAUAAAAGUGUUUUCUGUAUCUGAAAGUGGAGGGAAUUAAAUAUAAACAGAUUUGUUUAAACCCAGUACCCCUAUUAUUCUAUAGGUUACCUUAACCCUCUUCUGACAUCAAUUUUUCAACAAGGGUGAUUAUUUUUUCAGGCACAGAAAACAGCUAAACUGAAGUUAUUCAUACCUAUGGGAUUAUUCUAUAGUUAAUUUUACCAUUCAAAACUUGAGAAAAUUAUAUGCUACAGAACAUAGUCAUGGGUUUCACCAGCAGGGCUGUCUUUCCAGCAAAAUCACUGUCUGUCAGGAAGUAUAACACAGCCAAAAAAAAAAUCGAAAUAGAAAAUAGCAAUAAUAAGAAUAAUUUGUUGUGCACCUACUAUGUGACAGGACUUUAUGUAUAGUUUAUCUCUAAUCCUUCUCAACAACCCUGAAAAGUAGUGCUAAUAUUCUUAUGUUACGGAAGUCAUCCCUGGUUCAAUAGAGCCUUGUCCAAGGUUUAAUAAGUGUAGAGGAGGACUGUGGAGCUCAGUGGCAGAGCAAAUGCUUAGCAUGCUUGAGGACCUGGGUUCCAUCUCCAGCAACCCCCGUCCCCAACAAAAGGUAGAACCAAGACUCGAACGUGCAUCUCACUCCUGCCUCUGAGGACUUUGCACUGUUGUGCUCUCUCAAUACCAUAGAUACUAGGUAGCCACCAACAGGAAAUGCAAGGACCCCAGGUUUCAUAGAUCAGAUCCCAAAUCCACAGUGCAGGUUCAUGAAUUCACUUCAAGUGCAUCUGUAUGCAUUCUUCUAAUCAACUUCUAAUCAGCCUCCUUUAACUGCAUUCAAAUUUAAUGGGCAUCCCUACCCAAUAAUGGAAAUAGAACUGGUCUUGUUUGCCUUGUGCUGAUGGAGCACCUGCUGUGGUUCGGCACCAGGGACAGGACAGCAUGCAGGUCUCAGUCUGUCACCAGUGCUGUGGCACGGCGGCUGUGAGCUCUGCAGCAAGUUUUCAAAUGCAUUGAUUUUUAAGCUCAAUACCUCUGCCUCUGCGUCUCAUUAGUUGCUUCAGCCGACCUCUGCUCAACCCACAGGACGCCUAACCAAUCAUGCAGCAAAGCUUUGUGGACUGCAUUUUUGUUUUUUUAUUUGUGUUAUCAGAAGUGAGAAGUCUUGCAUUGGAGGCCAGCUCUGCGUUGUGAUCAUGGGCUUCUUUGAGCAUCAAAGUGGGGAUGGGGACCUCUGUCUCCAGAGCUCUGGCUCAGACCUUCAGCGUGACCCCCAAACAUUCACCGUCUUGUGUCCAGCCCCCACCCCAUGAAAAUUUUCUUUACCAUCUGGACCCCAUCUUUGUUCCCCAGUGCUGGGGAUCGAAGCCGGGGCCUCACACCUGCUAGGCAAGUGCUCCACCACGGAGCCACGGUCUAGCCCUGGACCCUGUGACGGUCAUCUCUGUUUCCUUCACAGUCCUCAGAGCAGUGGUGGCGUAGAGGGGCCCUCAGCGAAUACUGAAGGAGGAAAGAGCCAUGUCAUGAGCACGGGAAAGGGCGUGGGGUGACAGCCCUCCAGGUGGACAAGACUUCAUUCUGUAAUCAUCCCAGCUGUCAAAAAGACAUUCCCAGAAAGCGGUUCCCAGGGAGGGCAAGGACAUUGCUGUAGGACUCAGUGAGGAUGUGAUUCUGAGGGAAGAUGAGUCGUGACCGCCGAGUGCUCUCCUUGUGUGCUGUUCUUCCGAAAAGGCUCUGGGUACACAGAUCCAAGAAAUGGGCUUUCCUGAGCAAAGCCUCAGUCUCGGCUGAGCAACGGUAUUUUCUGGUAGACAAAGGAAAUGCUGUUUUUUUCUUUCCUGGGCUGGUUUCCUGACGUCCACUGCUUGUCCUCUGCCUUUGGGUUCUCGCCGGAGACCACCAACAUUCUUCAGACACAGUGAAGUAAAGCAGGAGAGUUUCAGAGCGCUGGGGGCCCCCCGGGACUGUCCCAGCCUGAUCCCAGGUUUGCUGUGGAUCGUAAGCACGACAGCGUGAAACUCGACAGAUUCUUCUGGAAUUCUCUGUUUGUUUUCCUUGUGAUCUGACUCACAUAAAAUUUAUUUUAUUUCUUCUUCCAAACUCCUAGGGAGUGUGGUCAUAUGAUUCAAGCAGAGGAAAACAUUGUCAAAAUAGGAUCAAGAAGUUAUCACUCGUACAUUGUUUUCAUUAAAUAAAAAGCUUCCAUGUGCA
Long non-coding RNA from Marmota monax (woodchuck), 15396 nucleotides. RefSeq lists it as uncharacterized. The transcript has 14 exons. The record is from RefSeq and is a predicted model, not a curated record. NCBI's taxonomy places the organism in Eukaryota, Metazoa, Chordata, Mammalia, Rodentia, Sciuridae.